This 71-nucleotide transfer RNA is filed under the name Cavia porcellus (domestic guinea pig). It matches the Rfam family "tRNA". Rfam says of the family: Transfer RNA (tRNA) molecules are approximately 80 nucleotides in length. Lineage: Eukaryota; Metazoa; Chordata; Mammalia; Rodentia; Caviidae. The record is from Rfam by way of RNAcentral.
GGGGAUUUAGCUUAGCGGCAUAAGCGCCUGCCUUGCAAGCAGGCAGUUGUGAGUUCGAUCCCUGGUACCCG